Molecule: ribosomal RNA, 442 nt
Filed under: uncultured bacterium
Lineage: Bacteria
Description: partial 16S ribosomal RNA
Rfam family: Bacterial small subunit ribosomal RNA
Source: RNAcentral
CCUACGGGAGGCAGCAGUAGGGAAUCUUUCACAAUGGGCGAAAGCCUGAUGGAGCAACGCCGCGUGCAGGAUGAAGGCCUUCGGGUUGUAAACUGCUUUUAUAAGCGAGAAAUAUGAUGGUAACUUAUGAAUAAGGAUCGGCUAACUACGUGCCAGCAGCCGCGGUCAUACGUAGGAUCCGAGCAUUAUCCGGAGUGACUGGGCGUAAAGAGUUGCGUAGGUGGCAUAAUAAGUAGCUGGUGAAAUCUGGUGGCUCAACCAUUCAGACUAUUAGCUAAACUGUUAAGCUCGAGACCGUUAGGGGUAACUGGAAUUUCUAGUGUAGGAGUGAAAUGCGUAGAUAUUAGAAAGAACACCGAUAGCGUAGGCAGGUUACUGGGACGGUUCUGACACUAAGGCACGAAAGCGUAGGGAGCAAACGGGAUUAGAUACCCUUGUAGUC